RNAcentral lists this ribosomal RNA (496 nucleotides) under uncultured bacterium. RNAcentral's name for it is "partial 16S ribosomal RNA". It matches the Rfam family "Bacterial small subunit ribosomal RNA", at positions 30 to 523 of the family's 1533-position model. The record is from RNAcentral.
AUUGAACGCUGGCGGAAUGCUUUACACAUGCAAGUCGAACGGUAGAGGGGGCAACCCCUCGAGAGUGGCGAACGGGUGAGUAAUAUAUCGGAACGUGCCCAGUCGUGGGGGAUAACGUAGCGAAAGUUACGCUAAUACCGCAUACGAUCUAAGGAUGAAAGCGGGGGAUCGCAAGACCUCGCGCGAUUGGAGCGGCCGAUAGCAGAUUAGGUAGUUGGUGGGGUAAAGGCUCACCAAGCCAACGAUCUGUAGCUGGUCUGAGAGGACGACCGGCCACACUGGAACUGAGACACGGUCCAGACUCCUACGGGAGGCAGCAGUGGGGAAUUUUGGACAAUGGACGCAAGUCUGAUCCAGCCAUUCCGCGUGCAGGAUGAAGGCCCUCGGGUUGUAAACUGCUUUUGUACGGAACGAAAAGGUCUCUCUUAAUACGGGGGGCUCAUGACGGUACCGUAAGAAUAAGCACCGGCUAACUACGUGCCAGCAGCCGCCGCAG